Molecule: unclassified non-coding RNA, 376 nt
Filed under: soil metagenome
Description: partial contains 5.8S ribosomal RNA, internal transcribed spacer 2, and large subunit ribosomal RNA
Rfam family: 5.8S ribosomal RNA (bases 1-120)
Source: RNAcentral
GAUGAAGAACGCAGCGAAAUGCGAUAAGUAAUGUGAAUUGCAGAAUUCAGUGAAUCAUCGAAUCUUUGAACGCAUCUUGCGCUCCUUGGUAUUCUGAGGAGCAUGCCUGUUUGAGUGUCAUUAAAUUCUCAACUACACUGACUUUGAAUUGGUGUGGCUUGGAUUUGGGGGGAAAAUUGUUGUGGGCUUUUUGUAUAGUCUGCUCCCCUGAAAUUGAUUAGCGGUACCUUUGUGGAACUGUCUACAGGUGUGAUAAUUAUCUACAUCUUAGACAUCUGCUGGAAUGCUGCUUUCUAAACCUUACUUGUAUUGACAAUCUUGACCUCAAUUCAGGUAGGACUACCCGCUGAACUUAAGCAUAUCAAUAAGCGGAGGA